GGUGGCUCAGUGGUAGAGCACUUGCCUUACAGGCAUGAGGCCCUGGGUUCAAUUCCUCAGCACCA
RNAcentral lists this transfer RNA (65 nucleotides) under Dipodomys ordii (Ord's kangaroo rat). It matches the Rfam family "tRNA". Rfam says of the family: Transfer RNA (tRNA) molecules are approximately 80 nucleotides in length. The record is from Rfam by way of RNAcentral. Lineage: Eukaryota; Metazoa; Chordata; Mammalia; Rodentia; Heteromyidae.